AUUGCUUCUCCGCUCUGUGAGCUAAGAUCAUGUUUAGUAUCUGUUCUUUGAAGUGUAAUUUUUUUAACGGUCUCUAAACUUAGACCUAUGAAAUUACAUGCAUCGUUCGCCUACAAAUUUU
Molecule: non-coding RNA, 121 nt
Organism: Schistosoma mattheei
Lineage: Eukaryota; Metazoa; Platyhelminthes; Trematoda; Strigeidida; Schistosomatidae
Source: Rfam